This 486-nucleotide ribosomal RNA is filed under the name uncultured bacterium. RNAcentral's name for it is "partial 16S ribosomal RNA". It matches the Rfam family "Bacterial small subunit ribosomal RNA", at positions 30 to 507 of the family's 1533-position model. The record is from RNAcentral.
AUUGAACGCUGGCGGCAUGCCUUACACAUGCAAGUCGAACGGCAGCACGGGUGCUUGCACCUGGUGGCGAGUGGCGAACGGGUGAGUAAUACAUCGGAACAUGUCCUGUAGUGGGGGAUAGCCCGGCGAAAGCCGGAUUAAUACCGCAUACGAUCUACGGAUGAAAGCGGGGGACCUUCGGGCCUCGCGCUAUAGGGUUGGCCGAUGGCUGAUUAGCUAGUUGGUGGGGUAAAGGCCUACCAAGGCGACGAUCAGUAGCUGGUCUGAGAGGACGACCAGCCACACUGGGACUGAGACACGGCCCAGACUCCUACGGAAGGCAGCAGUGGGGAAUGUUGGACAAUGGGCGAAAGCCUGAUCCAGCAAUGCCGCGUGUGUGAAGAAGGCCUUCGGGUUGUAAAGCACUUUUGUCCGGAAAGAAAUCCUUGGCCCUAAUACGGUCGGGGGAUGACGGUACCGGAAGAAUAAGCACCGGCUAACUACGUG